AAGUCGUAACAAGGUUUCCGUAGGUGAACCUGCGGAAGGAUCAUUAACGCAUCUAAAAGGCGCGAGUCGCACGUCGGCCCCGCUCCGACCGCGAGGUCGUGCAGCGGGUCGGCGACGCCUCCGUCGAACCCUUCACAAACCCAACCGUGCACCUUUUGCGGUGGAGGGCGGCCGGGCGAGAGCUCGACGUCCGAAACCGCUUCAAAAACACAACGUCUAAAGAAUGUAUCAGCGACCUCCGAGUCGUCUAACGAACGUAACAACUUUCAACAACGGAUCUCUUGGCUCUC
This 290-nucleotide unclassified non-coding RNA is filed under the name air metagenome. RNAcentral describes it as "partial contains small subunit ribosomal RNA, internal transcribed spacer 1, and 5.8S ribosomal RNA". The stretch from base 1 to 46 matches the Rfam family "Eukaryotic small subunit ribosomal RNA", at positions 1786 to 1831 of the family's 1831-position model. The record is from RNAcentral.